Oncorhynchus mykiss (rainbow trout) is the source of this 1127-nucleotide non-coding RNA. NCBI's taxonomy places the organism in Eukaryota, Metazoa, Chordata, Actinopteri, Salmoniformes, Salmonidae. The record is from RefSeq and is a predicted model, not a curated record.
UACAACAACUGCAACUCCUAAUACAACAACUGCAACUCCUAAUACAACAACUGCAACUCCUAAUACAACAACUGCAGCUCUUAAUACAACAAUUGCAGCUCCUAAUACAACUGCAGCUCCUACUACAACAACUGCAGCUCCUAAUACAACAACUGCAACUCUUACUACAACAACUACAGCUCCUAAUACAACAACCACUACUGAGCUACCAGACACUACACAAAUGAGCACUAUAACUCCACCUGCAGGACAGUACACCAUGCAUAGUAGGUCUGGAUAUAAGUUGGUACUGAGGGUGAAAUUUACCAUGACAACAGACCUUACCGAAUCUGAAAUCUUGAAGCAGCUUCAGUGGGAACUGAUCAGACGAGGGAUGCCAGAGACCUUUACACUGCAUAUGAGAAUCAUUUCAGGACAGAAUAGAAGAAGAGUUAUACACUUUAAUGACGAUGGCCCGUUGGUGGAGGAUUAUGAACCCCAUGUCAUAUCACUUAAUCCGGCAUAGCAAAGACACGACAACAGAUACCUUACAAUAGAUUACCCCCAAGAUUACACUCUUAACCCAUGUCCUGCCGUAACUGGACCUAAUGUAUUAGGCAACUAAAUAUCUAUAGUACCUUCAGAAAGUUCACACUUCUUGACUUGUCUCACAUUUUAUGUUACAAAGUGUCAUUAAAAAUGAUUGAAUUGUAUUGUUUUGUAAACGAUCUACACAAAAUACUCUGUAAUGUGGAGAGAGAAAAAGUGGAAGUGGACAUUAUUUUUGAACAUUUGUAAAUUAAAUAUGAUGUAUUAAUCAACAGUCAGUUGCUAUGUUCUCAUAGUGAAAGUCAUCUAACUCAGAAACUUCAAUGACCCAAACACUUGUAACUGAACUCAAGGCCACUGAUAUUUUUUUUGUUGGUAUUAUAUACUAGGCUAAAUCAUUUGGAAAAUGAGAGAGUUAACAGACUAAGGCAGGGUAUAGGCUAACGGAAAACAACACGGUCAUUGAGGUGAGAAUCACCACAGGUCAACAUCAUACAUGAACUUCUGUACUUGAACUCAACAAACACAACAGUACACACAUUCAGACUUUUGAGGAUGAGAUGGUCUUAUCAACUGAGAGGGAAAAUAUAACAGAAUCC